This 253-nucleotide ribosomal RNA is filed under the name uncultured bacterium. RNAcentral describes it as "partial 16S ribosomal RNA". It matches the Rfam family "Bacterial small subunit ribosomal RNA", at positions 524 to 776 of the family's 1533-position model. The record is from RNAcentral.
UACAGAGGGUGCAAGCGUUGUUCGGAAUUACUGGGCGUAAAGGGCGCGUAGGCUGUGCUGUAAGUCAGGCGUGAAAGCCCCGGGCUCAACCUGGGAAUUGCGCUUGAUACUGCGGCGCUGGAAGGUGGGAGAGGAUGGCGGAAUUCCCAGUGUAGAGGUGAAAUUCGUAGAUAUUGGGAAGAACACCGGUGGCGAAGGCGGCCAUCUGGCCCAUUUUUGACGCUGAGGCGCGAAAGCGUGGGGAGCAAACAGG